This is a long non-coding RNA of Poecilia reticulata (guppy), 566 nucleotides long. RefSeq lists it as uncharacterized. NCBI's taxonomy places the organism in Eukaryota, Metazoa, Chordata, Actinopteri, Cyprinodontiformes, Poeciliidae. The record is from RefSeq and is a predicted model, not a curated record.
UAAAAAAAGAAGGAAAAAUGUUUUGUUGUCAUCUGCACUACAGAACAUAUGUCCAUAAAUUUUCUCCCAGUUACUUAAAACAGCUUCAUUUCAGUUUUGCUUGCAAUGUCCCUGAAAUAUCGCCAAAUAAAGCUGUAGUUUGCGCAAAUCAGCUAAGGAAGGAGUCCUUUGAAAACUAGGAAGAGGAUUUAACAAAAUACUUCGGCUGAAGGAAGAUUCUGUUCCUACUGUUCGUCACAAAUCUGCAGAUGAUGGCAGAUUUACAUCAUUAUGCCACGUGUUCGGUUCCCCCCCAAAGGACCGGAGUUAAUUCUGCCCCUGACAGCCAGCGCAGUGUACUAAGCCAUUUCUGGAUGCUGGAAAUUGAUUAGUGUGCAGAAGACUUGCCCGUGCCCGUCUCUGUCUCGCACUUUCCCUCCUCCCCUCCAGCCCUGCACAGGCCUGUCUGUCCAUCUCUGGUAUGUUGAGCCAAUCAGCCAGGCGCUCCACACACGCUUAAUGAGCUCACGAGGGACGUGACAUGACUGCAGCGACAAGCGUUCACCGCCUUUCCCCAAAAAAAAGAG